ACGAAACUUGCCCCGAGAUGAGUUCUCCCUGACCCUUUAAGGGUCCUGAAGGAACGUUGAAGACGACGACGUUGAUAGGUCGGGUGUGUAAGUGUAGCGAUACAUUGAGCUAACCGAUACUAAUGAACCGUGAGGCUUAACCUU
RNAcentral lists this ribosomal RNA (144 nucleotides) under Citrobacter portucalensis. RNAcentral describes it as "partial 23S ribosomal RNA". It matches the Rfam family "Bacterial large subunit ribosomal RNA", at positions 2787 to 2925 of the family's 2925-position model. The record is from RNAcentral. Lineage: Bacteria; Pseudomonadati; Pseudomonadota; Gammaproteobacteria; Enterobacterales; Enterobacteriaceae.